AUUGAACGCUGGCGGCAUGCCUUACACAUGCAAGUCGAACGGCAGCACGGGAGCAAUCCUGGUGGCGAGUGGCGAACGGGUGAGUAAAGUAUCGGAACGUGCCCAGUCGUGGGGGAUAACGUAGCGAAAGUUACGCUAAUACCGCAUACGAUCUAUGGAUGAAAGCGGGGGAUCGCAAGACCUCGCGCGAUUGGAGCGGCCGAUGUCAGAUUAGGUAGUUGGUGGGGUAAAGGCUCACCAAGCCGACGAUCUGUAGCUGGUCUGAGAGGACGACCAGCCACACUGGGACUGGGACACGGCCCAGACUCCUACGGGAGGCAGCAGUGGGGAAUUCUGGACAAUGGGCGAAAGCCUGAUCCAGCCAUGCCGCGUGCAGGAUGAAGGCCUUCGGGUUGUAAACUGCUUUUGUACGGAACGAAAAGGUUUGGGCUAAUAAGCUGAGCUCAUGACGGUACCGUAAGAAUAAGCACCGGCUAACUACGUGCCAGCAGCCGCAGUAA
RNAcentral lists this ribosomal RNA (500 nucleotides) under uncultured bacterium. RNAcentral's name for it is "partial 16S ribosomal RNA". It matches the Rfam family "Bacterial small subunit ribosomal RNA", at positions 30 to 523 of the family's 1533-position model. The record is from RNAcentral.